This 305-nucleotide ribosomal RNA is filed under the name uncultured bacterium. RNAcentral's name for it is "bacterial SSU rRNA". It matches the Rfam family "Bacterial small subunit ribosomal RNA", at positions 334 to 655 of the family's 1533-position model. The record is from RNAcentral.
UGCGCCUACGGGGGGCAGCAGUCGGGAAUAUUGCGCAAUGGAGGCAACUCUGACGCAGUGACGCCGCGUAUAGGAAGAAGGUUUUCGGAUUGUAAACUAUUGUCCUCAGGGAAGAAAAAAGGCUGUACCUGAGAAGAAAGCUCCGGCUAACUACGUGCCAGCAGCCGCGGUAAUACGUAGGGAGCAAGCGUUAUCCGGCAUUAUUGGGUGUAAAGGGUGCGUAGGUGGCAGGGCAAGUCAGAUGUGAAAGCCCGGGGCUCAACCCCGGUACUGCAUUUGAAACUGUCCAGCUGGAGUGCAGGAGG